Long non-coding RNA from Ananas comosus (pineapple), 1254 nucleotides. RefSeq lists it as uncharacterized. NCBI's taxonomy places the organism in Eukaryota, Viridiplantae, Streptophyta, Magnoliopsida, Poales, Bromeliaceae. The transcript is spliced from 6 exons. The record is from RefSeq and is a predicted model, not a curated record.
UUAAAGGGUUUAUUGGUAAUUUCACCUCAAAGCUUAUCCUUUUAAGCUUCUGGACGACUCCCCCAGCUGGUUCUUAUCCUGAUUGAGCUGAGGAACAGGUUAAUCUGAGGACUUGGGGGGCAGCUCCUGGUGCGUGGGAAGUGAAGUUUUGUUGUGUUUCUUCAACCCUAACUCAGUAGAAACUGAGUUGAAGCUGUACAAGAGUUAGGGAAGUUUGUAGCAAUGGCAGAGAAGGUGUUUUAGCUAUAAUUCUUCAACCCUUAAUCAGAGGAAAGCUGAAUUAAAGCUUUGGGAAGGUUUGUGAACUAUCUUGGCUGAGUUUUAGUGAUCCUUAUAGAUUGGUUUUAAUGUUCUCCAACCUGAGUUGGAGCUGCACAUGCAGGGUAUUAGAUCCCUUUUGGCCGAGAUUUGGGAGCUUUCGAAGGUUGGUUUUGGUGUUCCAACUUGAACCGAAGUGAGGAUGUAAGCCUUGAUACUAUACUAGAAUCAUUGCUAGGUUGUUUGGAGACUUUGGAUUACCUACGUUUGUGAAAUCAACGAGAAUCAUCGACUAAUUGGUGGGUUUGACUUUACCGAAAUGGGUGAAUUCCCUCUAUGUCUUAUUUGACAUUAUAAAAGUGAAAUUGUUGCAUAUUCAUGUGAAUAUAUAUAGAGGAAUGGAUUGGUGUAUGCAUAAAUCUACAUAUUAUAUCGGAUAAAAGGAAGAGUCUAUGUAGUAGGGGAGAAUUAUGAAAUAGCUUUGCAUACAUAGAUCACUUGCUUGUUUAACAUGCAUCAUAUAAUAUUAGUAUACUUGUGUAGACAAGUUAAGUAGGACAUCAGCCACGAAUGAAUGAAUAUAAAGCUAUGAUUACGGCACUUAGUUUAGAUGUAUAACUAAGUAAACGAUGCAUUAUAGUGGUUUAUCUUUGAGUUAAAUUCAUGCAAUUCCAUGUUGUAGACAUGAUGACGGAACUCUUAGCAUAUCAUGUAUAGUGAAGUUACAUACUAAUACGUUUACAUAAAAAUCAUGUUAAGAGUAUGGUAGAGAAUGUUUCGCAUAUUUGUAUAUACAAGUUGGUUAUUGCUUUCACAGAAUAGAGAUAGCAUGAAUUUCAUGUUCUUAAAUAUAUGAUCUAGUCAAGUAACUAGAACUGGGUAUUAUAACAUAACAUGAAUGUUAUACUAGUGAAUACGAUCUAGUUAGAUAACUAGAAUUGGAUAUGAGGAUAUGCCUGUGUAGUCAAGUAGAAGUACUUGCCUAAUAUUUAUUUA